UCGGUUGAUCCUGCCGGAGGCUACCGCUAUUGGAGUUCGAUUAAGCCAUGCGAGUCGCGAGUCUUAGGGACUCGGCGUACCGCUCAGUAACACGUGGGUAACCUGCCCUAUGCUGGGGGAUAACCUCGGGAAACUGAGAAUAAUACCCCAUAGUUCACCACGCCUGGAACGGUGGGUGGAUGAAAGCUCCGGCGGCAUAGGAUGGGCCUGCGGCGUAUCAGGUUGUAGGGGGUGUAAUGUACCCUCUAGCCAUCUACGCGUACGGGUGUUGGGAGACAUCGCCCGGAGAUGGAUUCUGAGACACGAAUCCAGACCCUACGGGGUGCAGCAGGCGCGAAAACUUGGCAAUGCGAGCAAUCGUGACCAGGGAACUCCAAGUGCAUCGGGUAAGACCGAUGCUUUUCUUGACUCUUCAAAGGUCUUGGAAUAAGGGGUGGGUAAGGACGGUGCCAGCCGCCGCGGUAAUACCGGCGCCUCAAGUGGUAGUCGCUUUUAUUGGGCCUAAAACGUCCGUAGCCGGUUUGGUACAUUCGUGGGUAAAUCAAGGCGCUCAACGUCUUGAAUUCUGCGAGCACGGCCAGACUUGGGACCGGGUGAGGUGUGGGGUACUCUCAGGGUAGGGGUAAAAUCCUGUCAUCCUGAGAGGACCACCUGUUGCGAAGGCGCCACACUAGAACGGAUCCGACGGUCAGGGACGAAGCCUAGGGGCACGAACCGGAUUAGAUACCCGGGUAGUCCUAGGUGUAAACGCUGUGGACUUGAUGUUGGGAGUGCUCCGAGCACCCUCAGUGUCGAAGCGAAGGUGAUAAGUCCACUGCCUGGGGAGUACGGUCGCAAGGCUGAAACUUAAAGGAAUUGGCGGGGGAGCACUGCAACCUGAGGAUUGUGCGGUUUAAUUGGAUUCAACGCCGG
Molecule: ribosomal RNA, 912 nt
Filed under: uncultured marine archaeon
Lineage: Archaea
Description: bacterial SSU rRNA
Rfam family: Archaeal small subunit ribosomal RNA
Source: RNAcentral